CCUACGGUGUGCAGCAGUGGGGAAUAUUGCACAAUGGGGGGAACCCUGAUGCAGCGACGCCGCGUGAGUGAAGAAGUAUUUCGGUAUGUAAAGCUCUAUCAGCAGGAACGAGACAAGACGGUACCUGACUAAGAAGCCCCGGCUAACUACGUGCCAGCAGCCGCGGUAAUACGUAGGGGGCAAGCGUUAUCCGGAAUCACUGGGUGUAAAGGGAGCGUAGACGGCUGAGCAAGCCUGAAGUGAAAGGCGGGGGCCCAACCCCCGGACUGCUUUGGGAACUGUACGGCUGGAGUGCAGGAGAGGUAAGUGGAAUUCCUAGUGUAGCGGUGAAAUGCGUAGAUAUCACGAAGAACCCCGAUUGCGAAGGCAGCUUACUAAACUGUGACUGACAUUGAUGCUCGAAAGUGUGGGUAUCAAACAGGAUUAGAUACCCGAGUAGUC
RNAcentral lists this ribosomal RNA (441 nucleotides) under uncultured bacterium. Its description in RNAcentral is "partial 16S ribosomal RNA". It matches the Rfam family "Bacterial small subunit ribosomal RNA", at positions 338 to 795 of the family's 1533-position model. The record is from RNAcentral.